RNAcentral lists this long non-coding RNA (1764 nucleotides) under Salvia miltiorrhiza (redroot sage). RNAcentral's name for it is "long non-coding RNA (SMIL_LNC001458)". Lineage: Eukaryota; Viridiplantae; Streptophyta; Magnoliopsida; Lamiales; Lamiaceae. The record is from RNAcentral.
AGCCCUUAGAAUGAAUUCAUACAUGUUCUACAUAAAAUUCGUAAAUUGAAAAAUAUUUUUAUUUUUAUUUUAAGAAGUUUUUUCACGAUAGCCCUUUCCUAUAUAUAAAUAUAUAUAUGAAAAUGUUCAAUUGAGAAGCACAAAAAUGUUGAGAAGUGAGAAGCAAUCUAAAUAGGUGUGAACAAUUAGUACAUUUUUAUGAACAUGACAAUUAAUUUUUAUGAACGCGCGUUUGGGUUAGGGUUCGAUCACGUGUUUUUUUUAACAAAUUAAAUAGAUUCAUAUGUUUAUCAGUUAUAUUGGUAUGUUCAAAGCAUUUAUUGAUAUGUUCAUUAAUCUCAUUUCUUACGAAAAUCAAAUUCUCAAUAGAACCUAACCUUAUAUAUUCAACCUAACCUUAUAUAUUCUGAGAAUGCUAACUAUCGUGAGAAAUGAGAAUGAUUGCAUAAGUCAGUAUAUAGUGUUGCAUAAUCUACAGUAUAAUGCUGCAUAAAAUUUUUACCCGGAUUCGAACCUUAGAGGGAGCGAAAAAUUUAUCUAAUUAAUUGAAUUUUGUUAUGCAGUCAUUACAAGCAAUUUAGGAUUUGGGUUAAGGGGAAGGGAGAAGACGACAGUGGCGAGUUUUUUUUCUUUUGUUUUUAUUUUUAAAAUAUUACUCCCUCCGUCCACGAAUUAAAGCCCUACUUGUAUUUAAAUUUUUGUCCAUCAAUUAAAGCCCUAUUGUGCUUUUUGUACAUUUUUGUUCUUCUUCUUUUCCUAUAUUUACUACCAUUUCCCACCAAUGGACUCACCUUACAACAACUUUAUCAUUUUUAUAUUCUAUAUUUAUUACACUUUAUCACUAGUGGACCCACCACAAAACACCUUUAACACUUUAGUCAACUACUCUUAUAUUUCAUCCGCCGCCAUCCCUCCUCAUUCCCGUUGCCACUAAUGCUUCCUGCCGCCCCCACUGCCCGCUGUCACAUUCCCAUUCUCUCCUUGCCUUGCACCUUCUCCCUCCAAUCUACACACUUGAAGACUCCAUCCUCCCAACCCUAAUCCCAACCUCCCUCUAUCCAUUUUUCUCAUCUUCCCGCUGCUAUUGCCACUGCCACCGUCCGCUGCUGCAUCCCCCCUCCCCUCCUUCAACCUGCGCAACCACAUUCCUCCCUCGCUUUGUAUUGCCUAUCUCAUCAUUUCCCUUUUUGCUCCUCGUCGAUGCACCCUUUCACCCGCUUUUGCUGCUAGCGCACAUGUCCUAUCUCUCUCUCUCACUCUCUCACUCUCUCAGCUUUCGACGAGAAUCACCACCGUCGUACUGUCGCCUCCAAUUGAUGAUUACACACUUUUAUCAUUAUUACUUACUUUUGCAAAAAAAAGUGUAAUAGUGUUAAAAUAAAUUGUUACAUGAUUUUCACAAUUUCGAAAAAAUUAUGUAACAAUGUAUUUUCUAUUUAGUGCUAUAAUUUACACAAUUACACAAUAUAAAAGUAUUUUGAUAAAGAAAAAUGUUACUAUUUCUAUAUGUUUAUCCAUAUUAGAAUUUUCUUUUAUUAUAAUCUAUACUAUAUUAAAACAGCAGUUUUUAAUUAGAAAUUAAUUUCAAAUCAAUUUCAAAUUGAUUUGAAUGGCAAUUUUGAAAAUAUAUUCAACAUGAAGGUUACAAAUAAAUUAUAUCCCACUCACCCCACUAUCUCACUUACACAUUAACUCAUUCAAAAAAUUCAAAUAAAUCCACUAAUAUAUUAUAAAAACUAACGAGCAAUUCUUAAAACUAAAUUU